Molecule: ribosomal RNA, 755 nt
Filed under: Salmonella enterica subsp. enterica serovar Typhi str. CT18
Lineage: Bacteria; Pseudomonadati; Pseudomonadota; Gammaproteobacteria; Enterobacterales; Enterobacteriaceae
Description: partial 23S ribosomal RNA
Rfam family: Bacterial large subunit ribosomal RNA
Source: RNAcentral
GACCUUGAAAUACCACCCUUUAAUGUUUGAUGUUCUAACGUGGACCCGUGAUCCGGGUUGCGGACAGUGUCUGGUGGGUAGUUUGACUGGGGCGGUCUCCUCCUAAAGAGUAACGGAGGAGCACGAAGGUUGGCUAAUCCUGGUCGGACAUCAGGAGGUUAGUGCAAUGGCAUAAGCCAGCUUGACUGCGAGCGUGACGGCGCGAGCAGGUGCGAAAGCAGGUCAUAGUGAUCCGGUGGUUCUGAAUGGAAGGGCCAUCGCUCAACGGAUAAAAGGUACUCCGGGGAUAACAGGCUGAUACCGCCCAAGAGUUCAUAUCGACGGCGGUGUUUGGCACCUCGAUGUCGGCUCAUCACAUCCUGGGGCUGAAGUAGGUCCCAAGGGUAUGGCUGUUCGCCAUUUAAAGUGGUACGCGAGCUGGGUUUAGAACGUCGUGAGACAGUUCGGUCCCUAUCUGCCGUGGGCGCUGGAGAACUGAGGGGGGCUGCUCCUAGUACGAGAGGACCGGAGUGGACGCAUCACUGGUGUUCGGGUUGUCAUGCCAAUGGCACUGCCCGGUAGCUAAAUGCGGAAGAGAUAAGUGCUGAAAGCAUCUAAGCACGAAACUUGCCCCGAGAUGAGUUCUCCCUGAGACUUUAGGUCUCCUGAAGGAACGUUGAAGACGACGACGUUGAUAGGCCGGGUGUGUAAGCGCAGCGAUGCGUUGAGCUAACCGGUACUAAUGAACCGUGAGGCUUAACCUUACAACGCCGAAG